Fukomys damarensis (Damara mole-rat) is the source of this 853-nucleotide long non-coding RNA. RefSeq lists it as uncharacterized. Lineage: Eukaryota; Metazoa; Chordata; Mammalia; Rodentia; Bathyergidae. The record is from RefSeq and is a predicted model, not a curated record. The transcript is spliced from 3 exons.
GAAAGAAUCAUCCAGCACCAAGAAUGAAGGGCACCAAGUCUGAGAGGCGUGGGAUCCUGGCUCUGAGGCCGGCUGUUGACUGAGGUCAGGGAAGAGGUUAAAGAAGACCCGCAAGUAUGACAUCAUCACCACUCCUGCCGAGCGCGUGGAAAUGGCCCCGCUGAACGAAGAGGACGAUGAGGAUGAGGACGCCACAGUGUUUGACAUCAAGUACAGGUAAAACCUUUUUUUCCAACGUGUUAGAAUCCUGUGAGGUGAAGGACCCAGGAGCCUGCAAAGCACGGAAACCAAAACAAACACUAUUUGUGACACCGUGGCUCUGCCCUAUGUGCCCAGCACCUGCCCAUAAUGUCACCCGUCAACUGUGUUUCCACAUUGCCACUGGAGAGUCGCCUCUGCUGCCCUUUGGACGCCCUUUUCAAAUGUCACCCCUUCCUGUCACUCCUCUGAGAGGUUUUAUGCCUUACCAAGGGGACAGGGAUAGAAACAUGUUGAUUUUAAAACAAGUUUUUAAAGCAGCUGCUGACAAUAGUCAAGCUCCGAUCAGCAGAAUUAGGAAUCGACAAGGAGCCGGCAGGGUCCUCGGCUGUGCGUGUGGAAUCCCGGCACUGUUCUCCUGGACCCAGGCGAGGAUGUCUCCGACUGGCUUUUCACUUCUGUGGGGUUCUGGCCUCGCCUGGUGACACUCUGUGAGAUUUUACAGCGGAAGUGUGGCUUCUCUGGAAGCCUACAUAUUAUGGCUUCUUUCUCUUUUUUCCUUCUUUAAAGGGUUCAGUAGAAAUAGGCAUGGCUAGUUCAUGAAGAAUUUCAAAUUUCAAAUAUCAGGGACAAGACAUACAUGUGCGCGUGCGUG